Molecule: ribosomal RNA, 220 nt
Filed under: uncultured bacterium
Lineage: Bacteria
Description: partial 16S ribosomal RNA
Rfam family: Bacterial small subunit ribosomal RNA
Source: RNAcentral
GACGAACGCUGGCGGCGUGCUUAACACAUGCAAGUCGAGCGGUAAGGCCCUUUCGGGGUACACGAGCGGCGAACGGGUGAGUAACACGUGGGUGACCUGCCCUCAGCUCUGGGAUAAGCCUGGGAAACUAGGUCUAAUACCGGAUAUGACUCCAUGACGCAUGUUGUGGGGUGGAAAGCCUUGUGCGGCUGAGGAUGGGCCCGCGGCCUAUCAGCUUGUU